This 492-nucleotide ribosomal RNA is filed under the name uncultured bacterium. RNAcentral's name for it is "partial 16S ribosomal RNA". It matches the Rfam family "Bacterial small subunit ribosomal RNA", at positions 29 to 507 of the family's 1533-position model. The record is from RNAcentral.
AGUGAACGCUGGCGGUAGGCCUAACACAUGCAAGUCGAACGGCAGCACAGUAAGAGCUCGCUCUUACGGGUGGCGAGUGGCGGACGGGUGAGGAAUACAUCGGAAUCUACUUUUUCGUGGGGGAUAACGUAGGGAAACUUACGCUAAUACCGCAUACGACCUACGGGUGAAAGCAGGGGAUCUUCGGACCUUGCGCGAUUGAAUGAGCCGAUGUCGGAUUAGCUAGUUGGCGGGGUAAAGGCCCACCAAGGCGACGAUCCGUAGCUGGUCUGAGAGGAUGAGCAGCCAGACUGGAACUGAGACACGGUACAGACUCCUACGGGAGGCAGCAGUGGGGAAUAGUGGACACUGGGCGCAAGCCUGAUCCAGCCAUACCGCGUGAAUGAAGAAGGCCUUCGGGUUGUAAAGCCCUUUUGUUGGGAAAGAAAAGAAGCAGGUCAAUACCCCGCUGUUCUGACGGUACCCAAAGAAUAAGCACCGGCUAACUUCGUG